This 22-nucleotide microRNA is filed under the name Mus musculus (house mouse). RNAcentral's name for it is "mmu-miR-6403". Lineage: Eukaryota; Metazoa; Chordata; Mammalia; Rodentia; Muridae. The record is from miRBase by way of RNAcentral.
GCAAAGGCGCUGUUUCCCAGUG